GAUGAACGCUAGCUACAGGCUUAACACAUGCAAGUCGUGGGGCAUCAUGAUGUAGUAAUACAUUGAUGGCGACCGGCGCACGGGUGAGUAACGCGUAUCCAACCUACCCUCCACUCAAGUAUAGGCUUCCGAAAGGGAGAUUAAUCCUUGAUAUCGUCAUUCUCUCUCCUGUUAGAAUGAUAAAAGGACAUCGUUUCGGUAGAGGAUGGGGAUGCGUUCCAUUAGGUAGUAGGUGGUUUAACAGGCCACCUAGCCGAUGAUGGAUAGGGGUUCUGAGAGGAAUAUCCCCCACACUGGUACUGAGAUACGGACCAGACUCCUACGGGAGGCAGCAGUGAGGAAUAUUGGUCAAUGGGCGCAAGCCUGAACCAGCCAUGUAGCGUGAAGGAUGACGGUUUUUUUGAUUGUAAACUUCUUUUCUGUGCGAUUAAAGUGUGGCAUUUAUGCCAUAUUGCAGUAUCUCAGGAAUAAGC
This 473-nucleotide ribosomal RNA is filed under the name Bacteroidetes bacterium oral taxon 272. RNAcentral describes it as "bacterial SSU rRNA". It matches the Rfam family "Bacterial small subunit ribosomal RNA", at positions 28 to 491 of the family's 1533-position model. The record is from RNAcentral. Lineage: Bacteria; Pseudomonadati; Bacteroidota.